Molecule: long non-coding RNA, 1118 nt
Filed under: Pan troglodytes (chimpanzee)
Lineage: Eukaryota; Metazoa; Chordata; Mammalia; Primates; Hominidae
Description: long non-coding RNA NONPTRT009047
Source: RNAcentral
CGGCGGCGGCGGCGCGGGCGCGCGCUUCCUAGUGACGCAGGCGGCGGGGCCGCGCACGCACGGGGCUGGGAGGGCCGGACACUUAUUUGGCGCUCGCGGAGGAGGAAGGCGGGGCCGUGAAAUAAGGCCCGACGGGCCCCGGGGCGCGUGCGCGGACCGACACUGUCAGCUCCUAACGCCGCAGGUUCCUCCUGGUCCCCGAGGCCCCCGGUCGGGCGUUGCCUGCCCCGCGCGGGCGGCCGGGCCGAGGGACGAUGGUCAGUGGACGGACGGCGCCAGGGAGCAGUGCCCACGCGCGGCAGGGCGGUACCUUCAGGCCUCCAGGUCGGAAGUCCAGCCCAGCCUCACUCCGCCAAAAUCAGGGUGUCUGCAGGGCCGAUUGCUUUUGGAGCUCCACGGGAGAAGCUGUUCCGGCCUUUCCAGUUUCUGGAAGCACUUGAGCCCCUUGUCUCGUGGCCUAUCCCACACCUGAAAGCCAGCCAAAGCCAGUUGAGUCCUCACCCUGUUGGCCCCGACACUGAUCUCCUGCCUCCCUCAUCUGCUGUCAAGGCCCCUUGUGAUGACAUGGGGCCACCAGCUGGCCCAGGGCACCUCCUGUCUCCGAGUCGGCUGACCAGUGACCUUCAUUCCAUCUGUCGCUGUAAUUCCCCUUUGCUGGGAACCAACGUUCACAGAUCCCAGGGGUUAGGAUGUGAAUAUCUUGGGCAGGGCUGUCGGGGGGCUAUUCUUCCUUCUAAAAUAUUUAUCAUUUUUGUUUUGGGGAUUUUUUUGGUUUGGUUUUUUUUGAGACAGAGUCUCGCUCUGUCGCCCAGGUUGGAGGGCAAUGGUGCAAUCUCAGCUCACUGCAACCUCUGCCUCCGGGCAGACGUGAGCCAGUGCACCAGGCCUGUUUUUGUUUUUGUUUGUUUUGUUUUGUUUUUGAGAUGGAGUCUCACUUUGUCACCCAGGCUGGAGUGUAGUGGCGGGAUUAUAGGUACGUGCCAUCAUGCCCAGUUACUUUUUGUAUUUUUAGUAGAGACAGGGUUUUACCAUGUUGGUCAGACUGGUCUCAAACUCCUGAUCUCAGGUAAUCCACCCGCCUCAGCCUCCCAAAGUGCUGGGAUUACAGACGUGAGCCA